UGAGGAAUAUUGGUCAAUGGGUGGCAGCCUGAACCAGCCAUCCCGCGUGAAGGAAGAAUGCGCUAUGCGUUGUAAACUUCUUUUUCAGGGGGAUAAAAUUCUGUAUGUAUACAGGGCUGAAGGUACCCUGAGAAUAAGCAUCGGCUAACUCCGUGCCAGCAGCCGCGGUAAUCCGGAGGAUGCGAGCGUUAUCCGGAUUUAUUGGGUUUAAAGGGUGCGUAGGCGGAAUAAUAAGUCAGUGGUGAAACCCUGCAGCUUAACUGUAGACUUGCCAUUGAUACUGUUUGUCUUGAGGAUGGUCAAGGCAGGCGGAAUGUGUAAUGUAGCGGUGAAAUGCUUAGAUAUUACACAGAACACCGAUAGCGAAGGCAGCUUGCUGGGCCGUUACUGACGCUGAUGCACGAAAGCGUGGGGAUCGAACA
This 422-nucleotide ribosomal RNA is filed under the name uncultured prokaryote. Its description in RNAcentral is "bacterial SSU rRNA". It matches the Rfam family "Bacterial small subunit ribosomal RNA", at positions 355 to 774 of the family's 1533-position model. The record is from RNAcentral.